UAUAUUUUAGUGUAUGGGGCACCGUAAUUUUUGAAAUUACUAGAUAUAGUUUAAUUCUAUAAAAUAUAA
Molecule: transfer RNA, 69 nt
Filed under: Stichophthalma camadeva
Lineage: Eukaryota; Metazoa; Arthropoda; Insecta; Lepidoptera; Nymphalidae
Description: tRNA-Gln
Source: RNAcentral